AAGGCAUUCUCAGUGUUGAGGCAUUAGCCAAGCACACUGCUGAGGGUAUUCAGGACACUGACUCCAAAGCCCCCACAUCCACUAUCUCAACAAACAAUAAGACCAGCACCGUUGGAGCAAAGAAAAAUGAUGGCUCUAAUCCGACUGCUACAGUGGCUGGUCCAACUCACAGGCUCCCUAAUGACAAUGUGAGUCAGGAGGGUGAGCUAGGAGGCAUGAAUAGUAUACUGCCCGAUAAUCUCCUGGUAGAGAUACUGUCAAAGAGACUACAGUUAUGCAUUUCCAAUAUGCUGUAGCUUAGCAACUGCAACCGAGGCAUCGUGAUUGAUGGCUUGGAAACAAUGUACUGCCACUUUCCAAGCACUGUGCUCCAUGUCAUCAUCAAAGUCUUCAACAACCGCCAGCACAUCUAUGUUAUCAACCUCACCGACAGCUACUUUGAAUUCAGAUCCAGAGAGAGAGCUCAACUGGAGAUGACAGAGGCCUUACAAAGGGAAUAGACUGAAAGAGAAAAGCUGCAUGUGUAGGAGAUGGAUGAGGAUGAGUAUGACACCCUGUGUGAGGAAGAGAAAUCAUAUGCAGACCUUCAGCACUUGGAGAUGCUAAAGGAACAUAUGUACAGUAAGCAAGAGAGGGAGCAGGAGAAGAGGCAUCCGGAGGAGAAGCUCAGAGAGAAGGAGGAGCCGAAGAAAAGGUAGCAGAGAGAAAGAAAGGAAAUACUUACAGAGGAUAUAACAGAAAGGAGAAGUCAGUUGGGAGUUGCCCAGAGCCUGUUGUAGAACUGCACUCUGACUCUGGACUGGAACAGCAGCCUAAAAGGGGUAGAAAGAUAUCUUCCUGCACAGAAGCCAAAGACUCACUUUUGGAGGGUGCCAGAGAACUUGACGAAGGAGGCAAAAAGAAAGCCAAAGAUGGCAAAGACAGCAAGCCAACUGGCCAUGAUAAUUCUUUACUGCCACUGGAUGAACUGGAGAAAGAGCUGAUAACUGAGGCCGAAAGGCAGUUGUUUUCCC
This is a long non-coding RNA of Ictalurus punctatus (channel catfish), 1013 nucleotides long. The record is from Ensembl. NCBI's taxonomy places the organism in Eukaryota, Metazoa, Chordata, Actinopteri, Siluriformes, Ictaluridae.